RNAcentral lists this ribosomal RNA (505 nucleotides) under uncultured Oscillospiraceae bacterium. Its description in RNAcentral is "partial 16S ribosomal RNA". The record is from RNAcentral. Lineage: Bacteria; Bacillati; Bacillota; Clostridia; Eubacteriales; Oscillospiraceae.
CACGUAGUUAGCCGGAGCUUCCUCCUCUGCUACCGUCAUCAUCUUCACAGAGGACAGAGGUUUACAAUCCGAAAACCGUCUUCCCUCACGCGGCGUUGCUGGUUCAGGGUUUCCCCCAUUGACCAAUAUCCCUUACUGCUGCCUCCCGUAGGAGUCUGGGCCGUGUCUCAGUCCCAAUGUGGCCGUCCAACCUCUCAGUCCGGCUACCGAUCGUCGGCUUGGUGGGCCGUUACCCCACCAACUACCUAAUCGGACGCGAGCCCAUCUUUCAGCGGAUUGCUCCUUUGAUUAUCCUACCAUGCGAUAAGAUAAUGUCAUGCGGUAUUAGCGUUCGUUUCCAAACGUUAUCCCCCUCUGAAAGGCAGGUUGCUCACGCGUUACUCACCCGUCCGCCACUAAGAUAUCCAAGAUUCAUUACCGAAGUACUUCAUCAGCGAAUAUCUCCGUUCGACUUGCAUGUAUUAGGCACGCCGCCAGCGUUCGUCCUGAGCCAGGAUCAAACUCU